Molecule: ribosomal RNA, 119 nt
Filed under: Lepisosteus oculatus (spotted gar)
Lineage: Eukaryota; Metazoa; Chordata; Actinopteri; Semionotiformes; Lepisosteidae
Source: RNAcentral
GCCAGCAGCUAUAUCACCCUGCAACUCACAACUGGCAACCCACUGAAGCUAAGCGGGUGUGAGCCUGGUCAGCACCUGGAUGGGAGACCUCCUGGGAAAAACUAAGGUUGCUGCUGGAA